GUCUGCAUGGAGCCGACCUUGAAAUACCACCCUUUAAUGUUUGAUGUUCUAACGUGGACCCGUAAUCCGGGUUGCGGACAGUGUCUGGUGGGUAGUUUGACUGGGGCGGUCUCCUCCUAAAGAGUAACGGAGGAGCACGAAGGUUGGCUAAUCCUGGUCGGACAUCAGGAGGUUAGUGCAAUGGCAUAAGCCAGCUUGACUGCGAGCGUGACGGCGCGAGCAGGUGCGAAAGCAGGUCAUAGUGAUCCGGUGGUUCUGAAUGGAAGGGCCAUCGCUCAACGGAUAAAAGGUACUCCGGGGAUAACAGGCUGAUACCGCCCAAGAGUUCAUAUCGACGGCGGUGUUUGGCACCUCGAUGUCGGCUCAUCACAUCCUGGGGCUGAAGUAGGUCCCAAGGGUAUGGCUGUUCGCCAUUUAAAGUGGUACGCGAGCUGGGUUUAGAACGUCGUGAGACAGUUCGGUCCCUAUCUGCCGUGGGCGCUGGAGAACUGAGGGGGGCUGCUCCUAGUACGAGAGGACCGGAGUGGACGCAUCACUGGUGUUCGGGUUGUCAUGCCAAUGGCACUGCCCGGUAGCUAAAUGCGGAAGAGAUAAGUGCUGAAAGCAUCUAAGCACGAAACUUGCCCCGAGAUGAGUUCUCCCUGAGACUUAG
Molecule: ribosomal RNA, 652 nt
Filed under: Salmonella enterica
Lineage: Bacteria; Pseudomonadati; Pseudomonadota; Gammaproteobacteria; Enterobacterales; Enterobacteriaceae
Also listed under: 1 other name
Description: partial 23S ribosomal RNA
Rfam family: Bacterial large subunit ribosomal RNA
Source: RNAcentral